This is an RNA transcript of Cavia porcellus (domestic guinea pig), 4832 nucleotides long. It is a transcript of the gene named Wnt family member 10A, with no coding region annotated. Lineage: Eukaryota; Metazoa; Chordata; Mammalia; Rodentia; Caviidae. The record is from RefSeq and is a predicted model, not a curated record. The transcript has 2 exons.
CUCCUCGAGUUUGUAAAGACCAUUGUCUUUUUCUAUUGAGAAUUCUCGGAUCUGGGGGCAUUGGAGUGGCUGUGGGCUUUUUUUUUUUUUCUUUUGAUUUUACUGUCGGGAAUGCUCUGAAUUAAGAGUGUUGUGGGAUACAGUUAUAUGGCUCAUGUGGAUUAAGUUAUUGCUAGCCUUCCCAGUGUCUAGAAUUAAGUAGGGAUACCUCAUAACCCACACUGCAGUGAAUUGCAAAUGUGACCUAAAUGUGCCAGAAGUCUUUUCACCUGAAAGACUAGCUGUUGCACAGGACAAUGUGAAAUUCUCUGAUACAGCUCAAUAAGAAAAGUUUGAAGGGCCCGAGAUUUAGCUCAGCGGUAUAAGCGCCUGCUGGCAAGCGCAAGGUUGCCAGCUGGAUCCCCAUACCAAAAGAAAAAAAGAAAGAAAGAAAAGAAAAGUUUGAAAGCUACGUUUAGUGACACAGGCCCAUAAUCCCAACAUUUCUAGGAGCCUGAGUCAGGAUUAUGGCAGGUUUGAGCCCAGUUUAAGCAAUUUAGCAGAGUCUCACCUAAAAAAGUAAAAACAACAAAAUUUUAAAAGGUGCUGGAAAAAAAGGGGUGGGGAUGUAACUCUGUGAAGGCCCUGGUUCAAUUCUAGUACUAGGGGUGGGGCAACCCACAAAAAAUUUGAUAGAUUUCCCUAAGUUUGAUAGCUAUUCUAAAAUAAGGAGUUGGAAAGCUGAAAGAAUCUUGACUUUUUUUUUUGUCAGUACCAGGGAUUGAACUCACAACUGCACACUUGCAAGGAGGCACUUAUGCCACUGAGCUAAAUCCCCAGCCCCUGAAAGAAUCUUUUAAGGUAGCAAUACAGUAAUCCUCUCCUUUUACACUUGCUCAGAUUCAGCUAUGUGUGGCCAAUUUGGGUCCAAAAAUGUUCAAUGGAACAUUCCAAAAAUAAUUCGUAAGUUUUUAAUUACUUUUAUUAUACCAUGUUUUUAUAAUCAUUCUAUUUCAUUAUUUUUGUUAGUCUCUUAUUUAUUUACUUUUUGGCUUUUUGAGACAGUCUCCCUAGGGAGUGCAGGCUUGCCCGGAACUCAUUAUGUAGCUCAGGCUGGCUUCACACUCAGGGCUAUCUUCCUUUUGCAGCUUCCCUGGUGCUGAGAUUACAGGUAUGCACUGCCACAAACAAUGUUAUUCUCACUGUGACUGAUUCACCAUAGAUAUGUUAUAUGUGUUGGAAAAUACAUCACCCUAGGGCAGCUGUCUGAAGUUUUGGGCGGCCUUUGGCAGGGGUUCUUUGAAUGCAUCCUCAAAGGAUAACGAGGAAUCACUGUAAUAACACAUUUUGAUCAGCCAUGAAAGCAAAAAGACUAAAUGAUUGAGGGUUAGUCUUGGGGACAUGAAUGUACCUUCUAGGUCACACCCUCAGAGACCCUCCUCCCAGCAGCUACUGAAUUCUUUGAUGAAUCCCGUGAUCCAGUCACCUUCCAAAUGCCUGGGUCUUUUGGGGGACAUUUUAGAUUUAAACCAUAACAUUGAGCUUCUUAGUUUCUCCCUAGGAAAUUCCAGAAAAUUGUUAAAGAGACCCUCAAAGAAUAUGAAGCCAGGCCCUGUGUAGUGGCUUGUGCCUCUAGUCCUGGCUACUUGAGAGGCUGAAGCAGGGGAAUUGCUUUUGCCCAGAAGUUGGAGCUCAGCCUAGGCAACAUAGCAAUUCUCUUUCUCAGAAACACAGUUUUUGAAGAUGAAUUUACAUAAAGCUCUGGCCUCACAAAAUCUAAAUCUGCCCUUAAAUAGUUUUGCUCCCUCCUGACUACUCUGAUUAGAGCAGGGCAUGUGUUUCUUCUCUUAGUUGUUGAGAAAAUGGCAGCUCAGAGUGGUUAUGUUGCUUUUCUGUGGCUUUGACUGGCACAACCCGAAUCUUUGGGUUCUCAGUUCACACCAGGGGUAAUUGCCCUAUUCUAAAACCUCCCACCAUCUUCAGGGGGUAGGGCCUAAGUGCACCCACUUGACCUGCUUUGGGUUCUGGUUGUAGGAGAGCCUAGUAAAGGCAAAAGGGCAGGCUGGUUUCUGAAGUGCCCUCACAUCUCAGAUGAGAGCAGCCUUCUCUGUGUCCUCCCACCCCUGCAGUGAAGAUUAAGCCUGAGCAACUGCACCCCUGAGCAACUGUUCCCUCUGUUAGGGAUAGAAGUAUGCGACUCUUAAAUAGAAUCAGAAUAAACUGAUUGCUGGGAAGGAUGGUUGGAUACCUGUAUUCUCAGUACAUGGGAGGCUGAAGCAGGAAGAUCAGCAUGAGUUUGAGGCCAGCCAAGGCUACACAGUGUGUUCAAGACUCGUCUGAACUACAUAUUGAGACCCUGUCUCACCCUCCCUUUAAAAAAAAAAAAACCAAAAACAGAAUAGACCGGUGAGCCGGCUGUGUGUGAAUAUGCAUAGGAACAUGUCUUUUGUUAAUUCUCAAGCCAAGUGUAUUUUUGGUCUGUUUCCCUGGAGACUGGUGGGGAGUACGGAGAGACCUUACCAAGCAUAAGUAUAAUUUUGCCAGUUCGUUUCCUUUGCAUUUCCCCAAAUUAGUCACCCCAGCUUUCCACCUGAGCUGAUUUUUCCAAGGUCACUAACAACUUCGCUGCUAAAACCAACUUUUCAGGCCUUAAUCUGUUCUUUCCUGCUGCUAGUGGUCUUUUCAAAUGUCAGCCUUCAUUUAAACUCCUUCAGUGGAUCUUCACUGCUUUUAGGAUUAAGACUCACAUGACUGGCCCCAGUCUCUGGUGUUACCCCAGUCCAAAUGUACUCAUUUUUCCUUUCUCCAGAGUCCUGCUCGGCCCUGAUAACAAGGCCUUCACAUAUGUGCCUUCAGUCGCUAUUUUAUUUAUAAGUGCUACUUAACAGACAUUGUUGUAUUGGAGAUACCACAGGGAACAGAGUGGCACACAUUUCUGCCAUUCUAGAGCUCACCUCCCAUUGAUAGUACUGAUAUGUGUUCCACCUCCCCAUCCCCACUUUAGUUUUUUGGACAGGGUCUCCCUGUAGUAUCUCAGCUGGCUUUGAAUUUGGAACCUCCACCUCUGUAUCUGAUGCUGGAAUUACAAGCCUGAUUUUUGUUCCUUGCUGAAAUAUUUUUCUUCUUCCUUUUUCUCCCCAUUGAUUUAUUGAUAUUUAUUGAUAUUCCCCAAUAUUAUUGAUACUGCUUUAUUGAGAUAUAUUUCAACAUACCUUAAAAUUCAUGCAAUUUGUUGGCAUGGUAGUUCACAUUUGUGAUCCCAGCACCCUGGAAGGCUGAGGCAGGAGGAUGGCAAAUUCACAACCACCCCAGGAGACUUAAUAACUUAGCAAGAAUCUGUCUUGAAAUUAAAAAGAAAAGAUUGGGAAUGUAGCUCAGUGGAAGACACUGGGUUCAGUCCUUAAUACACACACACAAUCACAUACAUACAGGCAUGUGCACAUACACAAGAAGAAAGAGGAGUUUUAUAAAAUUUACUUAAAGUGCACAAUGUAGAAUAUUCAGAGUUUUGCGACUGUCUCCACAAUCAAUUUUAGAACUUUUUCACUCCAGAAAAAAGCCGUUUCUGUUAAUAACCACUUGCUUUCCCCUACAAUGUGCCUAGCCCUAAACAACUGAUCUACUUUCUGUCUGUAUGGACUUGCCAAUUCUGGAUAUUUCCUAUAAAUGAAGCAUGGGAUCUUUUUAUUAUUUAUUUAUUUAUUGGUACUAGGAAUCGAACUCACAACCUUGCUCUUUUCCAGUCAGAUGCUUGUGCCCCUGAGUUAUAGUCUUGGCCCCAUCAUGUGGUCUUUUAUAACAGCUUCUUUCGCUUAGCGUGCUAUUGCUGGUAUCAGUACCUUUUGUCAAAUGAUAUUUCAUUGUAUGUUAUGCCAUGUUUCACUUACCCACUUCAUCAGUUGAAGGGCAUCUGGGUGGUUUCUACUGUUUGGCUAUGAUGAGUUAAGUGGCUAUUUUCCGGUACAAGUGAUGGUAUGAACAUAUGUUUCCAGUUUCCUGGGUAUAUUCUUAGGAGUGGAAUCGCUGAGUCAUACGAUAACUCUGUGUUCAGUGUUCUCAGAAGUUGCCAUUCUGUUUUCACAGCAGCUGCACUAGUUUACAUUCCCAUCAGCAGUAAUGAGGGUUCCAGUUUCUCCACAUCCUUGCUGUUACAGAGUGAAGACCCAAAGAUACAGCGGAAGACACUGUCUAAAUUUAUGCUGAGGUUGGAUGAAGUAGGGACAGCCACGGAGAGGUGUGAUGGGACAAGAAGGAUAUGAACUAACGGUAACAGAUGGAGCCGGGAAACCCAUCAAGGCCAGGCUGCUCAACUUCCUCGUGCGCUCUGUGGUAGCAUUUCUUCCUCUCUGGUGUGGGAAAGGACCCUUCAGGAAUGAGCAUCCUAAUUCCUGCAUGCUCAGCGGCUACUCAGUUGGGGAAGGUAUAAGUUAGGUUAACGUUUCAUGCCCAGCCCAGGAAAUACAGCUGUGAUGGGUGUCUCAGGGAGAAAAGCAUUCUAGUUUCUCCGAUCUGCCAUAAAAAAGAGGAAUUCUAGUUUCUAGGGCUUGCCUGGGGCGAGAAAGUGAGGACAGCAGGCAGCAGGACAGGGCAGGAGAUCAAAAAGGGGUUUUGUGUUUUGAGGCUGCUUCCCAGACUGUUUGUCUGUUUCCAUUAAAAAUACUGUGUAUGCCAGGUGCCAUCAUUUUCUGAGCUUAGCAGAUGCUACUGCCCAAGGAGACUUCCAGAAGGUAGGAAAGCAUCCUGAAAGAAGUCCUCCCACAGCAACUUCCAACGGAGCUAGCCCCAGUGACACCUUGACCGUGGGCAUCUGGUACUCAGAAAUGUGAGACAAUAAAUUUCUGUUGCUUACACCA